UACGGAGGGUGCAAGCGUUAAUCGGAAUCACUGGGCGUAAAGCGCGCGUAGGCGGGGCUUUAAGUCAGCUGUGAAAGCCCAGGGCUUAACCUUGGAAUUGCAGUUGAUACUGGAGCUCUGGAGUACAGUAGAGGAAGGUGGAAUUUCAGGUGUAGCGGUGAAAUGCGUAGAGAUCUGAAGGAACAUCAGUGGCGAAGGCGGCCUUCUGGACUGAUACUGACGCUGAGGUGCGAAAGCGUGGGGAGCAAACAGG
RNAcentral lists this unclassified non-coding RNA (253 nucleotides) under uncultured Kangiellaceae bacterium. RNAcentral describes it as "contains 16S-23S intergenic spacer region". It matches the Rfam family "Bacterial small subunit ribosomal RNA", at positions 524 to 776 of the family's 1533-position model. The record is from RNAcentral. Lineage: Bacteria; Pseudomonadati; Pseudomonadota; Gammaproteobacteria; Kangiellales; Kangiellaceae.